Molecule: ribosomal RNA, 995 nt
Filed under: uncultured Gammaproteobacteria bacterium
Lineage: Bacteria; Pseudomonadati; Pseudomonadota; Gammaproteobacteria
Description: bacterial SSU rRNA
Rfam family: Bacterial small subunit ribosomal RNA
Source: RNAcentral
GUGCCAGCCGCCGCGGUAAUACGGAGGGUGCAAGCGUUAAUCGGAAUUACUGGGCGUAAAGCGCGCGUAGGUGGCUUGAUAAGCCGGUUGUGAAAGCCCCGGGCUCAACCUGGGAACGGCAUCCGGAACUGUCAAGCUAGAGUGCAGGAGAGGAAGGUAGAAUUCCCGGUGUAGCGGUGAAAUGCGUAGAGAUCGGGAGGAAUACCAGUGGCGAAGGCGGCCUUCUGGACUGACACUGACACUGAGGUGCGAAAGCGUGGGUAGCAAACAGGAUUAGAUACCCUGGUAGUCCACGCCGUAAACGAUGUCGACCAGCCGUUGGGUGCCUAGCGCACUUUGUGGCGAAGUUAACGCGAUAAGUCGACCGCCUGGGGAGUACGGCCGCAAGGUUAAAACUCAAAUGAAUUGACGGGGGCCCGCACAAGCGGUGGAGCAUGUGGUUUAAUUCGAUGCAACGCGAAGAACCUUACCUACUCUUGACAUCCUGCGAAUUUGGUAGAGAUACCUUAGUGCCUUCGGGAACGCAGAGACAGGUGCUGCAUGGCUGUCGUCAGCUCGUGUUGUGAAAUGUUGGGUUAAGUCCCGUAACGAGCGCAACCCUUGUCCUUAUUUGCCAGCGCGUAAUGGCGGGAACUCUAAGGAGACUGCCGGUGACAAACCGGAGGAAGGUGGGGACGACGUCAAGUCAUCAUGGCCCUUACGAGUAGGGCUACACACGUGCUACAAUGGUCGGUACAAAGGGUUGCCAACUCGCGAGAGUGAGCCAAUCCCGAAAAGCCGAUCUCAGUCCGGAUCGGAGUCUGCAACUCGACUCCGUGAAGUCGGAAUCGCUAGUAAUCGUGGAUCAGAAUGCCACGGUGAAUACGUUCCCGGGCCUUGUACACACCGCCCGUCACACCAUGGGAGUGGACUGCACCAGAAGUGGUUAGCCUAACGCAAGAGGGCGAUCACCACGGUGUGGUUCAUGACUGGGGUGAAGUCGUAACAAGGUAACC